RNAcentral lists this ribosomal RNA (468 nucleotides) under uncultured bacterium. Its description in RNAcentral is "partial 16S ribosomal RNA". It matches the Rfam family "Bacterial small subunit ribosomal RNA", at positions 28 to 507 of the family's 1533-position model. The record is from RNAcentral.
GACGUACGCUGGCGGCGUGCUUAACACGUGCAAGUCGAACGGAAAGGCCCUGCUUUUGUGGGGUGCUCGAGUGGCGAACGGGUGAGUAACACGUGAGUAACCUGCCCUUGACUUUGGGAUAACUUCAGGAAACUGGGGCUAAUACCGGAUAGGAGCUCCUGCUGCAUGGUGGGGGUUGGAAAGUUUCGGCGGUUGGGGAUGGACUCGCGGCUUAUCAGCUUGUUGGUGGGGUAGUGGCUUACCAAGGCUUUGACGGGUAGCCGGCCUGAGAGGGUGACCGGCCACAUUGGGACUGAGAUACGGCCCAGACUCCUACGGGAGGCAGCAGUGGGGAAUAUUGCACAAUGGGCGGAAGCCUGAUGCAGCAACGCCGCGUGCGGGAUGACGGCCUUCGGGUUGUAAACCGCUUUCGCCUGUGACGAAGCGUGAGUGACGGUAAUGGGUAAAGAAGCACCGGCUAACUACGUG